AGAGUUUGAUCCUGGCUCAGGAUGAACGCUAGCUACAGGCUUAACACAUGGCAAGUCGAGGGAAACGACAUCGAAAGCUUGCUUUUGAUGGGCGUCGACCGGCGGCACGGGUGAGUAACGCGUAUCCAACCUGCCCACCACUUGGGGAUAACCUUGCGAAAGUAAGACUAAUACCCAAUGAUAUCUCUAGAAGACAUCUGAAAGAGAUUAAAGAUUUAUCGGUGAUGGAUGGGGAGUGCGUCUGAUUAGCUUGUUGGCGGGGUAACGGCCCACCAAGGCGACGAUCAGUAGGGGUUCUGAGAGGAAGGUCCCCCACAUUGGAACUGAGACACGGUCCAAACUCCUACGGGAGGCAGCA
This 358-nucleotide ribosomal RNA is filed under the name uncultured bacterium. Its description in RNAcentral is "bacterial SSU rRNA". It matches the Rfam family "Bacterial small subunit ribosomal RNA", at positions 8 to 353 of the family's 1533-position model. The record is from RNAcentral.